UACGUAGGGGGCAAGCGUUGUCCGGAAUUAUUGGGCGUAAAGGGCUCGUAGGCGGUUCGUCACGUCGGGAGUGAAAACUCGGAGCUUAACUCCGAGCCUGCUUCCGAUACGGGCAGACUAGAGGUAGGCAGGGGAGAGCGGAACUCCUGGUGUAGCGGUGGAAUGCGCAGAUAUCAGGAAGAACACCCGUGGCGAAGGCGGCUCUCUGGAACGCAACUGACGCUGAGACGCGAAAGCGUGGGGAGCAAACAGG
Molecule: ribosomal RNA, 253 nt
Filed under: uncultured bacterium
Lineage: Bacteria
Description: partial 16S ribosomal RNA
Rfam family: Bacterial small subunit ribosomal RNA
Source: RNAcentral